AGAAAAAUAUUCAUAACAUCAAGACAUAGGCAAAGUGUCUGCAGCCCUGAACGGGUUCAGAUCCAACAACUAAACCUGAGUCAGACUUCAGAGAGGGGGAGUAAGCACUGAGGCAGGGCUCACUGGGCGGCCAAGGUUUGCUCAGCCUCCUCCUCACACUAGUAGAUUCCUCAGAAUCUGCAUGUUUGUCACCAGACUAAAUUUGUGCCACUUUGAACCCUAUCUUCUCUUUAGGACAUGCUGAACCUACGCCACUGGCUAGAUGUCCUGCCUGAAGAGAGUUAACAGUUUCUGAUGAGUGCACCCAAGCCAGACACUGUCACAUGCCACGUGAUGGUCUUGACCAUCUGGAGGUGGGUGCUGAGUAUAAAGGUUUCCCCUUAGAAGUGGGGGAUGGACUGGCCACCAAGUCGGGCCUUCCUUGAGAAGCCACCUGAUCCAGCACCUGGCCUUUGGCUUGGGUGGCUGUGCUGAGGAGUGUCCGAGGUGAUCAGGCUAAUAGGACCUGAGGUCACCAGCCCUGACCCGAUUCACAUGAAUGCCGUGUCACUAGUGUGUAAACCAGGUGCUCAGAGAGUCACCUGCUGUGGGGAGUUCUUUUCCACUGUCCGUGACUGUGCUGGGUGCGUGGAAGCAGACUGAGUAUCACGCUGACUCAGCGUGAGCAAGAGGCGGGCUGCCCAGGGGACACGAAACCCAGACUGGGAUGCGACCUGAGCAUUAUCCCAUAGUGAGCCCAAGAGAGCACCCCGCUCCUCUCUUGUGACUGCCUCUGUCACCCUGAAGGGCGGCCUGGUCGGCACCAGCCAUGACACCCCUCUCCUGUGCUCCCAAUCAGCCCUAGCCCUUUGGUUAAGAGUUGUUGUCCAGCCAGGACAAAAUUAAAGGUGCAGUCCCAGUCGUCCCCACUCUGUGGUCACACCCAGCCCAGGAUGACUGGAGUUUUGGGUCUCCUCAUGCCUGUCACCAACACAGCAACCGAGAUCUGGGGCCAGCUCCUCUCCAAUGACUGUGUUUGUGCAUUUUUCAUUUCUAGCUCUAGACGCUGGGUGGGGCUCUUUGCUGCCAUUUCAACUUGUUACUACUUAGAGAAAUCAACAUCCAUAUUUUACAGAAAACACACUGCUGCUUAGAGAACUAAUCUCCAGGAGUCCUGACCACGAAGACUCCCCCAGCUUCUCACCGAUCGCCUUGCUGAGGCCCAGGCCCAGGUCCCUGGGUGGGAGGCAGCAGAUGGAGGACGGCUAUGGACAGAGGACAGCGAGCCCGGGCAACGUGCAGAGAGCUCGGUGUCGCAGCCCGUGAGCAAAUCCCUGGAGAACAAAUGGGAAGCAGCCUGGCCAGUCCACUCACAGACAUGAGACCCCCGACGAGGUCGUUGGCAUGAGGGUCGUCGUCCUUGGCUCCAAACUGCGUUCUAGGCACAGGAUGCACGUGCCCCCACAGAUCGAACAUCUGACGUCACCGACCAGAGAGAAAACAGAGGGGACAAUCCAGUAAGCCACGGCCAAACAGUGAGCCUCUUUCGUGUUUCUAACAAUAAGGCUUUAGAACUCUCCAGCUUGCCGCGCUCCAGGAGUAAGAAUGUUUUGGAAGAUAGUUACACAGACUCUUUGUCUCAUAUAUGGCAAGAGCGAGAAAUACAACUCAUCAUGAACUGAAAUACAUGACUUUCUGGUUACAGUUUUCAAGGCACCCUUUGGUGCUUUCCACCGUUAGGCUUAAUCUAGCAUAAUUAGGUAAAUACCUUAAACAAGGCAAGCAGCAACGCCUAGGCUCUAAAGUUUGUUAAUUUUUGGUUGCUCCUGUCAAAGUGUGGUCCCUUUGGGGUGGGGAGAACCCGAGCAGUGCCCAGGCAGGAGAAAAUUUUCACAUAGAGUUCUGUGUGUCCCCCUGAAAGCCCCACUGUCAGGCCUUACAGGACCACAGCCGGGUGUGACAGCCUCGUGUUCCCAGACCAAGGCCCAAGGAGAAGCACCGUGCAAGGCUAACCAAUGCUUUAAAUGUUGGGGACCGACAAAACUCUUUGUCUAAUUUUGGUGACCAGCAUAUGGUUGUCAACUUUCCAUUUUACCCAACUGGUCAUUAAGCCAAAAAUAAAAACCACUGUUUUAGCACUAUGUCAUAAAAGAACUUGUUCUCAUUUUAAAAUAUAAUGAAAGUGACAUAUGCUUACAAAAACCAAACAGUAAUGUAAAUAUUAAUAAAGUUAGAAAAAGAAAAGGUAUAAAGUUGUCGUGACUCUGUAUGCAGAAACAUCUGUACAAACACUAACUACCCUUACGAUCACUGAGUAAGUUUAUCAAGCUCACUUGGUACAAGGUCAACACAUCAACGUGUUUCUGUAUGCUAGCAACAAACAGUUGGAAAUUAAAAUAAAAAGCAACCACUAUGAUGUGACAGCAUCAAAAAACACCAAUAUUUAGGAAUAAUGCUAAUGAAAGAUGUGCAAGAUUUAUAUACUGAAAAUGCAAAACACUGCUGAGAGGAAAUAAAGACACUGAAGCAGAGGACAGAACUUAACCCCACCCUUUCAGUCCCUGAGUGAGAUUUCCAUUUUCCCCAAAUACUAUAGGUUCAGAGCACUUCAUAGGAUUUUUUUUUAGAUAAAAAUCCAAGA
Molecule: long non-coding RNA, 2620 nt
Organism: Hipposideros armiger (great roundleaf bat)
Lineage: Eukaryota; Metazoa; Chordata; Mammalia; Chiroptera; Hipposideridae
Exons: 3
Source: RefSeq, a predicted model, not a curated record